This 1349-nucleotide ribosomal RNA is filed under the name Escherichia coli. RNAcentral's name for it is "bacterial LSU rRNA". It matches the Rfam family "Bacterial large subunit ribosomal RNA", at positions 1600 to 2925 of the family's 2925-position model. Lineage: Bacteria; Pseudomonadati; Pseudomonadota; Gammaproteobacteria; Enterobacterales; Enterobacteriaceae. The record is from RNAcentral.
CCCUGCUUCCAGGAAAAGCCUCUAAGCAUCAGGUAACAUCAAAUCGUACCCCAAACCGACACAGGUGGUCAGGUAGAGAAUACCAAGGCGCUUGAGAGAACUCGGGUGAAGGAACUAGGCAAAAUGGUGCCGUAACUUCGGGAGAAGGCACGCUGAUAUGUAGGUGAGGUCCCUCGCGGAUGGAGCUGAAAUCAGUCGAAGAUACCAGCUGGCUGCAACUGUUUAUUAAAAACACAGCACUGUGCAAACACGAAAGUGGACGUAUACGGUGUGACGCCUGCCCGGUGCCGGAAGGUUAAUUGAUGGGGUCAGCGCAAGCGAAGCUCUUGAUCGAAGCCCCGGUAAACGGCGGCCGUAACUAUAACGGUCCUAAGGUAGCGAAAUUCCUUGUCGGGUAAGUUCCGACCUGCACGAAUGGCGUAAUGAUGGCCAGGCUGUCUCCACCCGAGACUCAGUGAAAUUGAACUCGCUGUGAAGAUGCAGUGUACCCGCGGCAAGACGGAAAGACCCCGUGAACCUUUACUAUAGCUUGACACUGAACAUUGAGCCUUGAUGUGUAGGAUAGGUGGGAGGCUUUGAAGUGUGGACGCCAGUCUGCAUGGAGCCGACCUUGAAAUACCACCCUUUAAUGUUUGAUGUUCUAACGUGGACCCGUGAUCCGGGUUGCGGACAGUGUCUGGUGGGUAGUUUGACUGGGGCGGUCUCCUCCUAAAGAGUAACGGAGGAGCACGAAGGUUGGCUAAUCCUGGUCGGACAUCAGGAGGUUAGUGCAAUGGCAUAAGCCAGCUUGACUGCGAGCGUGACGGCGCGAGCAGGUGCGAAAGCAGGUCAUAGUGAUCCGGUGGUUCUGAAUGGAAGGGCCAUCGCUCAACGGAUAAAAGGUACUCCGGGGAUAACAGGCUGAUACCGCCCAAGAGUUCAUAUCGACGGCGGUGUUUGGCACCUCGAUGUCGGCUCAUCACAUCCUGGGGCUGAAGUAGGUCCCAAGGGUAUGGCUGUUCGCCAUUUAAAGUGGUACGCGAGCUGGGUUUAGAACGUCGUGAGACAGUUCGGUCCCUAUCUGCCGUGGGCGCUGGAGAACUGAGGGGGGCUGCUCCUAGUACGAGAGGACCGGAGUGGACGCAUCACUGGUGUUCGGGUUGUCAUGCCAAUGGCACUGCCCGGUAGCUAAAUGCGGAAGAGAUAAGUGCUGAAAGCAUCUAAGCACGAAACUUGCCCCGAGAUGAGUUCUCCCUGACUCCUUGAGAGUCCUGAAGGAACGUUGAAGACGACGACGUUGAUAGGCCGGGUGUGUAAGCGCAGCGAUGCGUUGAGCUAACCGGUACUAAUGAACCGUGAGGCUUAACCUU